UACGGUGUGACCCUAAUGCUAAAAAUACAAAGGUGGCCUAAGUAGGCCGAGCCGGCUGAAACGGUUUCCAUAGUUCAACAAGCGCCGCUGCCCGACAGCUAUAACCGGCCACCCAACCGCCCCCAAUGCCCCGCCACAAACGCAAACUUAAUCAAUUAUUACGACGUCCCCCGAGGUAUCACCAUCUCUCGUAAACGUUUCGCGGGUGUAGUUACAAAGAUCAUCGAUGAAACAACGCUGGUCAAAUUUUGAGCGUUUUUCCAAGAAGCAAUGGCUAUGGAUUGAGAUUGAAAUUCAUAGAAUGUCACUAUAAAGUUCUAAGGUCUAAGUUGAGGAGCAAAUAACGAUGCUAGAAAAUAUAGAACUCUAUUAUGUAAAUUCAUUGAGAGGAAAAUUGCAGACUGAAAUAACGCGUCGUUAGCUCUUAAUGGGUUAAUUUAUAAAUAAAAUAAUAAACGUAGACGUAACUGAAAAAUGUCACGGAUAGAAAGCAAUUAAAAAAUUGUUAAAAAAAUGUUUUUCUGUUUGGUUUACAGUUUACUAUUUUUACCUCUCUCGUGGAUAUUUAACAGAUAUUGACUGUCAUAUCAGCUUUAUUUAGGUUUAUAAAACUUUGAACACACAUUACGUACUUUUAAAUGACAGGUAAAAUACCUAUUAAUCUAGGAAUUUACAUUUUCAGCAGCAGUUUCGUUUAAUAGUAAUUUAAUAAUUAAAAUCAGAAAAUCAGGAAAAAAGUUAUCCUAUUAUAAUUUUCUCAUAUAGUUUUCGAUCUUUCGUGGUUUCUCUGACUCGGAGAACGCGAGCACGAAUAAUUUAGACGCUACUACAUGUUCGAUAUAGUAAUCGUUUUCAAGAAAAAAACGAAGAAAUGAUGGAAAAAUUUAUGUCAACGACUUCAUCAUCCUCAACUAUCGUUCUUUGGAAAUUCUCUGGAAUUUCGUUAGAAUUCUUCUCAUAACUGCCUUCAGUAAUAACUAACUAACGUAGCUAGUAUAUCCAUAGAUAUUAAAAUCGAUUUCUAAUGUGAUUUAUACUGCAAUUACAAUAAUUGCAUCUACGUUUAUAUCAUUCUAUCAUUUACAAGCAUAAAACAUAAAACGUACCAAGCUUAUAAAUACCAUGAUCAUUCCCGACUAGCCUUGAACAAUCAAUUGAUCCCGCGCACAAGCCUAACCUAAACUAAACUAACAAUUUCAAGGACCACCUUCAAGUACCAUCCAUACUAUUUAAGCAAGUAUAAUAUGGAGUUCAUUAAUCACCGAUAAAUCUGUCUUAGGAUACUUACGAAAAAUUAAUCUGAAUAGCGAAAUUAUUGAAACCUUUAAGAAUUAUUAUCUCAUUUGCGCACUACGAAUAAUUAUGGAAAUUCAUAUUUUUAUGAACACAAUAAAGAAAAAGGAAAAGAAAAAUAAAAAAUAUCAAUAACACAAAAUCUCAAAAAUUAAAAAAAUUAAGGAUUUUUAAAUUAAGCGAUUGGGUGGCUUGAAAGUUUGAAACUUCGAACGUCUGAAAAUUAAAAGAUUCCAAAUCCUCUUUACUUCUCUCAAGAAUCUGUAAAAGUCCCUAAUAAUCAAUCUCACGUUCAGAGAAGCCUGAUCAAUGAAAGUUGCGUAAAUCCGAGCAAAAUAGGCCGUAAAUCCAUCCAGACUGUCAUCGCGAAUCCAUCAGCGUAAUUACGACACAAAGUUGCUCACAAUAAUGCUGACAUUUCCUUUUGACACGUCCUCUUCUCGCCAGAAGAAAUCUUUCACGAAGAGUCACGAUUCUCCAGCUCGAACCAGCACCGAUAGGUGUGAAUUAUUAGUACGGGAACAUCGAGUUUCACGUUGACGAGCAACGAUGGUCGAGAUUAUAAAGAGCUGGUUGUUUAUUCGUUGCGGGCACAGGUUGUUGCCGCAACCGCGACGCGGCCAGCCCCGUCAUAAAUGUAAAUUGAAUUCCGUCGCAUAAAUUUCUACCGUGCGGCGUACCCAAUAAAUUCACCGCCCGAUACAAUCAGUAAUAUUCUGUAACAUCGUCGCCGAUCGGAUUACGAAACUCUUUCCGCGCUGAUCGAACAAGUGCCCUUGGAACCCUGUUGACUCUUGGACGAGGAACCAUCCUUUGCUCAUUAUCCGUGAAACUGUUAUUAUACGUCAAAUAAUAUUAUAGAGUGACGGAGGAUUCCAGCUGCAACACGUGCCGCGAGAACGAUGCCGCUUCCGUUCAUGGAUCGCCUGGAAUAUCGUUGCUCCAACGGAAACGUGACUUGCAAGGGCCGACUGACUGCCAAUUACAAUCUGUUCGACUAUGUUACGAGAGAUCGGGUUUCUGUUAAUCGGUCUACGAGCUAUUCUUUAGUCAAUGUCGAUUAACUCAAUUUUCUCUACAAAUUUUUCGAUUAAAAUAUUUGUUGUCUCUAUCUAUUGAGCUUUGAGAUCGUUUUCGUUUCAGGAAGGAUUUUAAUCAUUUAAUACAAUAAAAUAGCUAUACCUGUAUUUUACAAAGAAUAUGUCGUAUAUCUAUUUGCAUUGUAAAUUGUUUCUUUUUUUAUCAUAAAGCAUGUAAUUCUUUUGAUUAAUCUCUUAACGUGUACGCCCGUGAGAUUAUACUGGCGUGUACAUUGGUAGAAACGUGUACUUGGUGUUAGAUACACAGGUAAAGUGAAACACUCGCUUCAUGGUGAUUUGGUUAACAUUAUCAAACAGAAACUAUAAUAUUUUAUGCUUGGAUAGCUGUAUGAAUUGUAUCGUUAGCAUAGUAUAUUACUUAUAAAUCUGAACAAAAUUUUAGCAUUAGAUUGUAACGGGUAUCCAAAAUUUCUCUCAAAAAUUAUAUCUGCCAAAUCCAGCUAACUUGAUUAUAUAAAAUAAUUUUACGAAUAAUAUAAUCCAAGAGUCAAAAAAUCCUUCGCUAAAACUCCAAGUUAAACGUAUUCCUCGAUCAUAAAGGUUCAUUUCCUUUUAUAAAUCCUUUAAUAAACUGUUCAAGCAUCCAAGUUUUCUGCUCCGUUGAGUUUCUCUAUCAUCGAAGACACUCGAUGUUUAAAGAAAUCGAAGACGAAAAGACCUCUUGGGAAGGGAAACCAG
Long non-coding RNA from Bombus terrestris (buff-tailed bumblebee), 3071 nucleotides. RefSeq lists it as uncharacterized. Lineage: Eukaryota; Metazoa; Arthropoda; Insecta; Hymenoptera; Apidae. The record is from RefSeq and is a predicted model, not a curated record. The transcript has 2 exons.